Acanthosepion pharaonis is the source of this 107-nucleotide non-coding RNA. The record is from the annotation of a GenBank genome assembly. Lineage: Eukaryota; Metazoa; Mollusca; Cephalopoda; Sepiida; Sepiidae.
CACAUCACUUGGAAACACUGGUUCCUGUAUGAUCACCAGAGUUAAGCAACAUCAAGCUUGGUCAGUACCUAGGUGGGUGACUGCUUGUGAAUACCAGGUGCUGUAAG